UUCCUCUCAGGGUCGCGUCUGGAGAGUGUCCAGUCCUCUACCAGUCUUGACUACGGGAGGGAGAGUCAAACAGAGGCCUACCCGUUCCAUUCCUAGCUUGGCCAGUGGCUAGCGAGCGGCAGGCAAUCUGCUACUAGU
RNAcentral lists this small nucleolar RNA (138 nucleotides) under Ornithorhynchus anatinus (platypus). The record is from RNAcentral. Lineage: Eukaryota; Metazoa; Chordata; Mammalia; Monotremata; Ornithorhynchidae.